UGAAACUGCAUGGUGCAGAAAGUGUUUUUCAUUGCAGUUUCUGCUGCUGGGAAAGCGGUAGAUCACUAUGGCUGUUGUACCGUGAAAUGAAGCUUAUGAUAAAUAAAAUACUGCUGCUUGCUGGUCACUGAUUGAAGAUCGUUCAGUGGCUACCAUUGGCCAAUCUCACCAACGGGAUGUAAUAAGAACUGAUGCAGAUUUAUAUUUAUAUGUAUUGUCUAUUCGGAACAAAGUUAGUACGCUUUUCAAACCGAUGUUGGAUUUUUCUCCAGAUACAGGCAACCCACUUAACUUUGGAAGUAGUGCGCAGGAUUCGUCUAAAGAUAUGCUAAAC
Armigeres subalbatus is the source of this 334-nucleotide long non-coding RNA. RefSeq lists it as uncharacterized. The transcript has 3 exons. NCBI's taxonomy places the organism in Eukaryota, Metazoa, Arthropoda, Insecta, Diptera, Culicidae. The record is from RefSeq and is a predicted model, not a curated record.